Molecule: small nuclear RNA, 288 nt
Filed under: Myotis davidii
Lineage: Eukaryota; Metazoa; Chordata; Mammalia; Chiroptera; Vespertilionidae
Description: 7SK RNA
Rfam family: 7SK RNA
About the family: 7SK was discovered as an abundant small nuclear RNA in the mid-70s but a possible function has only recently been suggested.
Source: Rfam by way of RNAcentral
UGUGAGGGCGAUCUGGCUGCGACAUCUGUCACCCCAUUGAUCGCCAGGGUUGAUUCGGCUGAUCUGGCUGGCUAGGCGGGUGUCCCCCUCCUCCCUCACCGAUCCAUGUGCGUCCCUCCCGAAGCUGCACGCUCGGUCGAAGAGGAUGACCUCCCGCCCCCGAGGAGAGGACCAGCCUUCGGUCAAGGGUAUAUGAGUAGCUGCGCUCCCCUGCUAGAACCUCCAAACAAGCUCUCGAGAAAGCCAUCCCCUCCUCACCUCCAUCCCUCCCAGAGGCUGUGCGUCUAU